Misgurnus anguillicaudatus (oriental weatherfish) is the source of this 612-nucleotide non-coding RNA. The record is from RefSeq and is a predicted model, not a curated record. Lineage: Eukaryota; Metazoa; Chordata; Actinopteri; Cypriniformes; Cobitidae.
GUUUUCGUAUGUGAGGUAAUCUUUCUUAUGCUGGGAGUGAAGACAGUGCGUAUGACCGCUUGAUAUGAAAGACACAUCCUGUUUUUAAAGGUGGAUCAUGAGUGAAGCUCUGCGGGUCUGCCAUUGGCUUGAUAACAGUGGUUUAUGUGAAUUGAGUGAAUUCAAUUUAUAAAUAAAUCUUUCACCAAGCAUUCACCUAUUUACGGACAAAACAGAUCCAAAUCUUGUUCAGCCUGAUGCUCAACCUUGUAUGAUGAUGACCACGGCCAGGUGAUGGAGAGCUGUGUUAAUCACAGCCUGCGUCUUAAGAUCAACAUGACAAUAGCAGACCAUCUCUUAUCUUACUCUUAUCUGACUAAAUGUUCAGCAUCAUUGCAACAAAACAAAGAACAUUGGAUGGAGUAUUGGAUGAUCCCGUAAAGUAAAUAAUAUGGACUUUUUUGGUGAGAUUCUACAAAGAUUGACACAAUCCUAUUGACUUUUAUUUUUACAGUUAAUAAUGCAUUAUAAACAUCCCAUUCAUUUGUAUUCUAUGUCAUCGAUCUGUUUGUGCUAAAAUGUAUACAUCUGAAUGUAAUGUCAAUAAUAUGUUAAUAUUCAGGAUUUAUUAUC